This 348-nucleotide unclassified non-coding RNA is filed under the name soil metagenome. RNAcentral's name for it is "partial contains 5.8S ribosomal RNA, internal transcribed spacer 2, and large subunit ribosomal RNA". The stretch from base 1 to 120 matches the Rfam family "5.8S ribosomal RNA", at positions 35 to 154 of the family's 154-position model. The record is from RNAcentral.
GAUGAAGAACGUAGCGAAAUGCGAUAAGUAAUGUGAAUUGCAGAAUUCAGUGAAUCAUCGAAUCUUUGAACGCACAUUGCGCCCGCCAGUAUUCUGGCGGGCAUGCCUGUCCGAGCGUCAUUUCAACCCUCGAACCCCUCCGGGGGGUCGGCGUUGGGGAUCGGCACUUACCUGCCGGCCCCGAAAUACAGUGGCGGUCUCGCCGCAGCCUCUCCUGCGCAGUAGUUUGCACACUCGCACCGGGAGCGCGGCGCGUCCACGGCCGUAAAACAACCCAAACUGCUGAAAUGUUGACCUCGGAUCAGGUAGGAAUACCCGCUGAACUUAAGCAUAUCAAUAAGCGGAGGA